GCUGCAUUGAACUCUGGAUUAUUGAACUGCAAUUGUGAAUCUGUCCUGCGUUUUGAUUGUUUUGUGAAAUAUUCUUGUUUUCUGCAGUUACAUAAAAGAUUCGAUAUAUUGUUGACCUUGGCCAAAAACAGUCGAAAACCUCUCUCUCUAUCUCAACUCAAUCUAUCUGUAUUCGUCAUUUGUUUCCGUAAUCUAUUCGGCUCCAUCUGACAUCUCGAUUAUAUAUUUUAUGCUGAG
Molecule: non-coding RNA, 237 nt
Organism: Styela clava
Lineage: Eukaryota; Metazoa; Chordata; Ascidiacea; Stolidobranchia; Styelidae
Source: RefSeq, a predicted model, not a curated record